ACACCCUCAAGCUCUGCUUGGUGUUGGGCGUCUGUCCCGCCUCCGCGCGUGGACUCGCCCCAAAUUCAUUGGCAGCGGUCUUUGCCUCCUCUCGCGCAGCACAUUGCGCUUCAGAGGGGCGUGGGCCGCGUCCACGAAGUAACAUUACCGU
Molecule: unclassified non-coding RNA, 151 nt
Filed under: uncultured Paraconiothyrium
Lineage: Eukaryota; Fungi; Ascomycota; Dothideomycetes; Pleosporales; Didymosphaeriaceae
Description: sequence contains ITS2
Source: RNAcentral